This 300-nucleotide ribosomal RNA is filed under the name uncultured Lactobacillus sp. Its description in RNAcentral is "bacterial SSU rRNA". It matches the Rfam family "Bacterial small subunit ribosomal RNA", at positions 496 to 795 of the family's 1533-position model. Lineage: Bacteria; Bacillati; Bacillota; Bacilli; Lactobacillales; Lactobacillaceae. The record is from RNAcentral.
GCGAAUUGGGGUCCAGCAGCGUCGGGGGGAGGUAGGCACCAAGCGUUGUCCGGAUUUAUUGGGCGUAAAGGGCUCGUAGGCGGUUCAGUAAGUCGGGUGUGAAAACUCUGGGCGCAACCCAGAGAGGCCACCCGAUACUGCUGUGACUUGAGUACGGUAGGGGAGCGGGGAAUUCCUGGUGUAGCGGUGAAAUGCGCAGAUAUCAGGAGGAACACCAGUGGCGAAGGCGCCGCUCUGGGCCGUGACUGACGCUGAGGAGCGAAAGCGUGGGUAGCAAACAGGAUUAGAUACCCUAGAGUC